CAGGCACGGAGCGCUUAUCUAUAUGCAUCCCGGUCUGAGAUAAGGUAAAGUGCGUUUAUUCAUCCAGGGCUAUUUAAAAAGAAAUAGUGACAGACAGUUAUGGUAGUAAAACAUUUUAUUACUUAGAAAGACAGAAUCUCGUCCACAAGUCCAGAUGAAACCAAAAAAAAAGAAAAAAAUUACACUGGCAAAUUAAACAAGACACACACAUAUUACAACUCCAGCAAUCCCAGCAGUGUAAUUCAGUAAAAGAUAUAAUCCUUAAACCUUCACCUGUUUAAAGUGCUCAAAGAAAUUACACAACGUUAAGGCGAACAAAUAAAACAUCACUGACACGUUUUUUUGGGGGUAUUUUAAUGUUAAAAGUAGGCACACUUAUUUUUUAAAGAAACAAAGCAAAAGUGUAAGAUAGAAGCUUUUUAACUUUAAAAGCAGUUUCCUCCUUUUCAGUCCUCUAAAGAUACAACCCAACAGGCCAUUUCUCUCUCUUCCUCCUGCCUGUUUUACAUUUGUGCUUUGACGGCAAAGGGGAAAAAAAAUCACUCAGUCAUCAAAUCCGUUAAUCUUCCAAAUCUCUGCCUCUCCCUUCGCCAUCUUAAAAUCCUGCAAUCCUGCAAAUACAAGCACAAUAAGAGCAAUUUAUAAUUGAAGGAGCGCCUUUAAAGUUCAGUGAAACAUGUACGGCUUCCUCUUGUUUGCUUCAUUUGUGGAGUUGGUAAAUCUGCCUCCACAGCAUGUAAGACUAACUCAGUAGCACUUGUAUCCUUACCUGUUGGACAUUAUAAAUAAACUUCCUUCACUUCAGAUUUUUCCAGGGCUGGAUUUAGAGACACUGUCUUCACCGCUAUUCUCAAACAGGCUCCUCUUACUAGAAAUGUCCACAUGUCUCAAAUCCUACAAAUCAGAAACAGAAUCAUUAUAUCAGUUCUUAUUACAGUGAAGAGAAAGAAAAAAACACUCUUUAAAUCUGGAGUCUUGAAAUAUUUCUGAAGCAGGGACCUCUUACGGGGCAAAUAGUUUUGUAAACACACCCUAAAAUGGUCUUUAUAUCGUCUGACAAUUUGGACUGACUUAAGCAUUUCUUCAUGCUCAGUAGAUAACUGCUAAAAAGCCAAUGGCACAAAGCAGGAGGAACGGGUCACUCUACUCUGACAAAAGUGAUGUUAGGACAGAUUAGCACGAAGUCAGUCAUGCCAGUGUUUCUGUAGGCGACCCUCUGCUUUAAAGUGUGCUUAUGAAUUUACCCAGAUAGAUAUUGUUUCUGCUCAGAUAUAACAAAGAUAAGAUUUCUGCAGCCAAAAACAUGCACUGCUAAAUCUAACAGCAAGUUGGGUAUGUCGUAUGAAGCUUUCUGAACAGCUUAAUUAAGUUAAACAUCCAACUCUAAAUUCUUAAGAUCAAAUUCUUUGAGCUACUUUUGAAAUUAAAUGAAACGUUCCCAUAAAUGACUUUACUGAGUUUACCAGAGUAGAAAAAAAAUCUGUGUUUAAAAAGAAUUAAUUGAUCAGAACUUUCUUCACGAUUAACGACAGUCAUGCGUUUUACGUAGUUACCUACAUAAUGGCAAACUCUUUAAUUUAAUGUAGGCAA
Molecule: long non-coding RNA, 1590 nt
Organism: Astatotilapia calliptera (eastern happy)
Lineage: Eukaryota; Metazoa; Chordata; Actinopteri; Cichliformes; Cichlidae
Source: Ensembl